Molecule: unclassified non-coding RNA, 1735 nt
Filed under: Hevea brasiliensis (rubber tree)
Lineage: Eukaryota; Viridiplantae; Streptophyta; Magnoliopsida; Malpighiales; Euphorbiaceae
Source: RNAcentral
GGACGAAUCUUAAGGUCAGUCACCGCCUGCCUUCUGGUAAACGUAGGUGAGACCACACUUACCACAGUAGUGCCUAUCAAAAUGAUUGGCCAUGAAAGUCCCAGCUCCACACUCAGAAUUCGGGCAUUCCUUCCUCAGCCUCUGCACCUUCCCGGAGUCCUCGACCUUGUAGAACUGGAGCACGGCGAGCUUGACCUUCUUCUUUUUGUGCUUGAUCUUCUUGGGCUUAGUGUAUGUCUUCUUCUUUCUCUUCUUGGCGCCACCACGGAGACGAAGUACCAGGUGAAGAGUGGACUCCUUCUGGAUGUUAUAGUCAGCCAACGUGCGGCCGUCUUCAAGCUGCUUGCCGGCGAAGAUCAAUCUCUGCUGAUCGGGUGGAAUUCCUUCCUUGUCUUGGAUCUUGGCCUUGACAUUGUCAAUGGUGUCGGAGCUCUCAACCUCCAGGGUGAUGGUUUUCCCGGUAAGGGUCUUCACAAAGAUUUGCAUACCACCACGUAGACGGAGGACAAGGUGAAGGGUCGACUCCUUCUGGAUGUUGUAGUCGGCAAGGGUGCGCCCAUCCUCAAGCUGCUUCCCAGCAAAGAUGAGUCUCUGCUGGUCUGGGGGGAUGCCUUCCUUGUCCUGGAUCUUAGCUUUGACAUUGUCAAUUGUGUCUGAGCUCUCAACUUCCAAGGUGAUUGUUUUCCCAGUCAAAGUCUUCACAAAUAUCUGCAUACCACCCCUGAGACGGAGGACCAAAUGGAGGGUGGACUCCUUCUGAAUGUUGUAGUCAGCCAGGGUGCGGCCAUCUUCUAGCUGCUUCCCAGCAAAGAUCAGCCUCUGCUGGUCAGGUGGAAUUCCCUCUUUGUCCUGGAUCUUAGCCUUAACAUUGUCAAUGGUGUCUGAGCUUUCCACCUCGAGGGUGAUUGUCUUUCCAGUAAGGGUUUUCACGAAGAUCUGCAUCUGUUUAGAAGAAAUAAACCAAAACACAAUGACUUUGUUGUUGUUGUUUGUUUAAAAGCCUUGACAACAGAACAUAAUGACAAAAAAAAGGGGCUUCUAAUCAAGUUUUGGCAGAUCAAUGUAUAAGUUCUAAAUCCAAUUUCAACAGAUCAGUAAAAAAAUUGAUAUAAAUAUAAUAAAAUUAGCAAUGACUAUAAUCAAGUUCUUUUUAGGUAUCAUAACCCACAAAAGUAAACCAAUUGGGACUCAUUAAAAAUCUAUCCUGGUUCUUUCAGAAAAUAAAGAUAAAAGAUCAUUAACAAAAUAUACUGAACUUCUACAAAACAAAGGAAGAACAUUUGCCAACAAUAAGUUAAAAUUCCGAACAACACCUUACCAAGGGCCAAUUUAUCAGAUUAGAAGUCCAAAAUAAAACAGGAAACAUGUCCAUAAAGAAUAGGCCAACUGCUUGAUCACAUCAUCUCAAAUCAAAGAAUUUAUUACUUCAUCAAAGAAAACAAGCACAAACCUAUACAUUAAAACUCUGUUUGGAUAGAAGGAAAAGGGAGAGAAAAGAAAAUAAACAAGAGAAAAUAAAUUGUUAUUUUUCUUUUCCUUGUUUGAAAAUGAAGAGAAAAUAGGGGGUUUUCUCUCCAAUUUGAAUUGAAGAGAAAGUAACAAAAGUGUUCUUUAUACAUUAAAAUUAUCAAAUCAUCUUUUUUCAAAGUAUUUUUUUUUUUAAAUACAUGAAAUAAAAUUGUAAAUUUAUCCUAUUUUUCUUUCCGCUCUUUAUUUUCCUAUCUUUCUAUCUAAA